GUACACUCCUGCGGGAGGCAGCAGUGGGGAAUUUUGGACAAUGGGCGAAAGCCUGAUCCAGCAAUGCCGCGUGAGUGAAGAAGGCCUUCGGGUUGUAAAGCUCUUUUGUCAGGGAAGAAACGGUGAAAGCUAAUAUCUUUUGCUAAUGACGGUACCUGAAGAAUAAGCACCGGCUAACUACGUGCCAGCAGCCGCGGUAAUACGUAGGGUGCAAGCGUUAAUCGGAAUUACUGGGCGUAAAGCGUGCGCAGGCGGUUUUGUAAGUCUGAUGUGAAAUCCCCGGGCUCAACCUGGGAAUUGCAUUGGAGACUGCAAGGCUAGAAUCUGGCAGAGGGGGGUAGAAUUCCACGUGUAGCAGUGAAAUGCGUAGAUAUGUGGAGGAACACCGAUGGCGAAGGCAGCCCCCUGGGUCAAGAUUGACGCUCAUGCACGAAAGCGUGGGGAGCAAACAGGAUUAGAUACCCCUGUAGUCCCAUG
Molecule: ribosomal RNA, 477 nt
Filed under: uncultured organism
Description: partial 16S ribosomal RNA
Rfam family: Bacterial small subunit ribosomal RNA
Source: RNAcentral